RNAcentral lists this ribosomal RNA (253 nucleotides) under uncultured bacterium. RNAcentral describes it as "partial 16S ribosomal RNA". It matches the Rfam family "Bacterial small subunit ribosomal RNA", at positions 524 to 776 of the family's 1533-position model. The record is from RNAcentral.
UACGUAGGUGGCAAGCGUUGUCCGGAUUUACUGGGCGUAAAGAGCGCGCAGGCGGUCGGAUAAGUCGAAUGUGAAAGCCCCCGGCUCAACUGGGGAGGGUCAUUCGAUACUGUUCGACUCGAAGGCAGGAGAGGGAAGUGGAAUUCCCGGUGUAGUGGUGAAAUGCGUAGAUAUCGGGAGGAACACCAGUGGCGGAGGCGACUUCCUGGCCUGUUCUUGACGCUGAGGCGCGAAAGCUAGGGGAGCAAACGGG